This 500-nucleotide ribosomal RNA is filed under the name uncultured bacterium. RNAcentral's name for it is "partial 16S ribosomal RNA". It matches the Rfam family "Bacterial small subunit ribosomal RNA", at positions 28 to 507 of the family's 1533-position model. The record is from RNAcentral.
GACGAACGCUGGCGGCGUGCUUAACACAUGCAAGUCGAACGGGCCUGUCUUCUUUUUUGGGGGGUGGGUUGAGUGGCGAACGGGUGAGUAUCACGUGAGUAACCUGCCCUUCGGUCCUGGAUAACCGCUUGAAAGGGCGGCUAAUACGGGGUGGUCCGGUUGGUCCGCAUGGGCUGGUCGGGAUAGAUUCACUGUUUUUGGUGUUUCGGCGGGGGAUGGGCUCGCGGCCUAUCAGCUUGUUGGUGGGGUGAUGGCCUACCAAGGCGGUGACGGGUAGCCGGCCGGAGGGGGUGGGCGGCCACACUGGGACUGGGAUACGGCCCAGACUCCUGCGGGAGGCAGCAGUGGGGGGUAUUGCACAAGGGGCGGAAGCCUGAUGCAGCGACGUCGCGUGAGGGAUGGAGGCCUUCGGGUUGUGAACCUCUGUUUCCGGUGGUGAAGGCCCUGUCCGUGUGGUGGGGUUGACGGUAGCCGGGGAUGAAGCGCCGGCUAACUACGUG